This 464-nucleotide ribosomal RNA is filed under the name uncultured Geobacteraceae bacterium. RNAcentral describes it as "partial 16S ribosomal RNA". It matches the Rfam family "Bacterial small subunit ribosomal RNA", at positions 338 to 794 of the family's 1533-position model. The record is from RNAcentral. Lineage: Bacteria; Pseudomonadati; Thermodesulfobacteriota; Desulfuromonadia; Geobacterales; Geobacteraceae.
CCUACGGGAGGCAGCAGUGGGGAAUUUUGCGCAAUGGGGGCAACCCUGACGCAGCAACGCCGCGUGAGUGAUGAAGGCCUUCGGGUCGUAAAGCUCUGUCAGAGGGGAAGAAAGGCAGGUGGUGAACAACCAUUCUGUUUGACGGGACCCUCAAAGGAAGGACCGGCUAACUCCGUGCCAGCAGCCGCGGUAAUACGGAGGGUGCGAGCGUUGUUCGGAAUUAUUGGGCGUAAAGCGCGUGUAGGCGGUUUUUUAAUUCUGAUGUGAAAGCCCCGGGCUCAACCGGGGAAGUGCAUUGGAUACUGGCAGACUUGAGUCCGGGAGAGGAGAGUGGAAUUCCCGGUGUAGGGGUGAAAUCCGUAGAUAUUGGGAGGAACACCGGUGGCGAAGGCGGCUCUCUGGACCAAUACUGACGCUGAGACGCGAAAGCGUGGGGAGCAAACAGGAUUAGAUCCCCGGGUAGU